AAAAAGACAAACCCUGAUUUCCGUGUCUAACAUUUGACUGUCCGUCUUAUUUGAAAAAAUUAUGAAAAAAAUUAAAAAGACAAGUCACGCAUAAAAUAUUAAUCAUGUUUUAUCAUCUAACAACAAUGAAAAUACAAAUUAUAAAAAAAUUUCAUAUAAGACGGACAGUCAAAGUUGGACACGGAAACCCAGGGUUUGUCUUUUU
RNAcentral lists this microRNA precursor (205 nucleotides) under Oryza glumipatula. Its description in RNAcentral is "MIR812 microRNA precursor family". It matches the Rfam family "MIR812 microRNA precursor family". The record is from Rfam by way of RNAcentral. Lineage: Eukaryota; Viridiplantae; Streptophyta; Magnoliopsida; Poales; Poaceae.